AUAAUUUCAUUACAUUUUUGUAAAUUGAUUAUUUUAUUUCUUAUAAUAAAUGUAAAUAUUUGUAGCUAAAAAAAUAUACUAGUUAAAAUAUAGUUAGGCUUUUUAUUUACUUAAUUAAAAUUUCAAUUUUAACUAAAGAUAAAUUUUACUUUGAAAGUGCAUAUUAAAAUUAUGAAAAAUAUGAAAAAUGGAUAGGAAUAAAUGAUAUAGGAUUUUUAUGUUAUUAUGAAUGAUAAAAAAAUUAUGAGCUGCCCCUCCUUGCAUGCCACUGACUGUCUAUAUAUGGGCUUUCUGAGAAUUUAUAGUUAAAAAUUAUUUCGUGUAUUUGUGUUAUGCAGUGUUUGCCAAACUUAAAAUCUCUUGAUCUUAAUUGGUCAAAGCAUCUGAAAACAGUCCCUGAUUUUUCUAUGAUGAC
This 415-nucleotide unclassified non-coding RNA is filed under the name Hevea brasiliensis (rubber tree). Lineage: Eukaryota; Viridiplantae; Streptophyta; Magnoliopsida; Malpighiales; Euphorbiaceae. The record is from RNAcentral.